Bufo bufo (common toad) is the source of this 157-nucleotide long non-coding RNA. RefSeq lists it as uncharacterized. The record is from RefSeq and is a predicted model, not a curated record. Lineage: Eukaryota; Metazoa; Chordata; Amphibia; Anura; Bufonidae. The transcript is spliced from 2 exons.
AGGAGGAGAUUCCUACAGAUAAGAGCCCAGGUGACUGUACUGGGAGCUCGGAGGGACAAUUGAUAUCUACAGAUUAUAAUGCAGAUGAUCCGGGUGUCACAUCAGAUACGUAUGAAGAUUGUGCCAUUAUCCCAGAUGUACCAUCCACUCUUCACAG